AACGAACGCUGGCGGCAGGCUUAACACAUGCAAGUCGAACGCACCUUUCGGGGUGAGUGGCCGACGGGUGAGUAACGCGUGGGAAUCUACACUUCUCUACGGGAUAGCUCCGGGACACUGGAAUUAAUACCGUAUACGUCCUGAUGGAGAAAGAUUUAUCGGGGAAGGAUGAGCCCGCGUUGAAUUAGCUAGUUGGUGGGGUAAAGGCCUACCAAGGCGACGAUCCAUAGCUGGUCUAAGAGGAUGAUCAGCCACAUUGGGACUGAGACACGGCCCAAACUCCUACGGGAGGCAGCAGUGGGUAAUAGUGGACAAUGGGCGCAAGCCUGAUCCAGCCAUGCCGCGUGAGUGAUGAAGGCAGUAGGGUUGUAAAGCUCUUUCAGUGGGGACGAUAAUGACGGUACCCACAGAAGAAGCCCCGGCUAACUUCGUG
RNAcentral lists this ribosomal RNA (433 nucleotides) under uncultured bacterium. RNAcentral describes it as "partial 16S ribosomal RNA". It matches the Rfam family "Bacterial small subunit ribosomal RNA", at positions 29 to 507 of the family's 1533-position model. The record is from RNAcentral.